UACAGAGGUGGCAAGCGUUGUUCGGAAUUACUGGGCGUAAAGGGCGCGUAGGCGGCCUUCUAAGUCAGACGUGAAAUCCCCCGGCUUAACCUGGGAACUGCGUCUGAUACUGGAAGGCUUGAGUGCGGGAGAGGGAUGUGGAAUUCCAGGUGCAGCGGUGAAAUGCGUAGAUAUCUGGAGGAACACCGGUGGCGAAGGCGGCAUCCUGGACCGACACUGACGCUGAGGCGCGAAAGCUAGGGUAGCAAACGGG
Molecule: ribosomal RNA, 253 nt
Filed under: uncultured bacterium
Lineage: Bacteria
Description: partial 16S ribosomal RNA
Rfam family: Bacterial small subunit ribosomal RNA
Source: RNAcentral